RNAcentral lists this ribosomal RNA (446 nucleotides) under uncultured bacterium. Its description in RNAcentral is "partial 16S ribosomal RNA". It matches the Rfam family "Bacterial small subunit ribosomal RNA", at positions 338 to 795 of the family's 1533-position model. The record is from RNAcentral.
CCUACGGGAGGCAGCAGUCGAGAAUCAUUCACAAUGGGGGAAACCCUGAUGGUGCGACGCCGCGUGGGGGAAUGAAGUUCUUCGGAUUGUAAACCCCUGUCAUGUGGGAGCAAAUUAAAACGAUCGUACCACACGAGACAGAGACUGCUAACUCUGUGCCAGCAGCCGCGUUAAUACAGAGGUCUCACGCGGUGUUCGGAAUCACUGGGCGUAAAGCGUGCGUAGGCUGUUUCGUAAGUCGUGUGUGAAAGGCGCGGGCUCAACCCGCGGACGGCACAUGAUACUGCGAGACUAGAGUAAGGGAGGGGGAAGCGGAAUUCGCGGUGGAGCAGUGAAAUGCGUAGAUAUCGAGAGGAACACUCGUGGCGAAGGCGGGUUACUGGACAGUAACUGACGCUGAGGCACGAAGGCCAGGGGAGCGAAAGGGAUUAGAUACCCUGGUAGUC